This 73-nucleotide transfer RNA is filed under the name Monodelphis domestica (gray short-tailed opossum). RNAcentral's name for it is "tRNA-Lys (CTT) (tRNA-Lys-CTT-7-1)". It matches the Rfam family "tRNA". From Rfam's summary of the family: Transfer RNA (tRNA) molecules are approximately 80 nucleotides in length. The record is from Rfam by way of RNAcentral. Lineage: Eukaryota; Metazoa; Chordata; Mammalia; Didelphimorphia; Didelphidae.
GCCUGGCUAGCUCAGUCGGUAGAGCAUGAGACUCUUAAUCUCAGGGUUGUGGGUUUGUGCCCCACAUUGGGCG